UACGUAGGGAGCAAGCGUUAUCCGGAUUUACUGGGUGUAAAGGGCGCGCAGGCGGGCCGGCAAGUUGGAAGUGAAAUCUAUGGGCUUAACCCAUAAACUGCUUUCAAAACUGCUGGUCUUGAGUGAUGGAGAGGCAGGCGGAAUUCCGUGUGUAGCGGUGAAAUGCGUAGAUAUACGGAGGAACACCAGUGGCGAAGGCGGCCUGCUGGAUAUUAACUGACGCUGAGGCGCGAAAGCGUGGGGAGCAAACAGG
Molecule: ribosomal RNA, 253 nt
Filed under: Agathobaculum desmolans
Lineage: Bacteria; Bacillati; Bacillota; Clostridia; Eubacteriales; Butyricicoccaceae
Description: partial 16S ribosomal RNA
Rfam family: Bacterial small subunit ribosomal RNA
Source: RNAcentral